UGGCUUCGAGGACACCACGGUGGCGAUCGGUCAUUUUUGCAAGCACCACCAUCGACCACCACCCUUGUUUGACUCCCCUUGACGUCUAGAUCAAACCCCAAACAAGUUUGGGGGCGGCAGAGCAUUAGAGGAGACGGAUCGAUAACCACCCAUUUUAAGGGUUUUUUACGGUUUAAAGGAUGUUCAGGUCACUUUCCGCCCGAAUUGGACUUCGGCCCAGGUAUGAAAGUUGUUCCUUUCAUUGAGAUCUUCAUUGCUGUAAAAUUUGAGAAUUUUUGGAGUUGUUGAAUUUUUCGACGAGUCGGGGCUGCUGGUCGCCGCGCAUGCAGUGGCGCGUGGCCUUCCAAGUUUGAUGAGAUUAUAGGAUUGAUGAGAUUUAUGGAUUUUGUUUCGGGCAAUGAUUGCACCAUUAUUGAGCAUGGUUUUACUCAUACUUGUUUUACGAAUGAUUUCUUGGCAUGUUAGGGUUUUCAGAAAAACCUAUUAUGUAGUAUAAUAUAUGUUUUCAAAACAGGGGGUUAGUAUGUUUAUAAAUAAAAUGGUUUCCUUAUUAUUAGUAUUAUUAUUAUAAACUUUGGUCCACUCACCUUUUCGGUUUUGUGCCCCCUUAAGAGUUAGAAUCGAGGCAGACUUUCCUGGCGUUAGGGCAAUUUCGCGUAGGGAUCUUUGAGGUUUCUCUACGUGGUACCCAUUCCUUGGUUCAUAUUUUUUUUAUCAUCGUCCUUUCACAUUAUUCUUAAUUAGUUGUAUGCUUUGAACACAUUCCUACAUUAGUAUAUUUCUUUCUAAUUACAUAUUUUAAUUUACAUACAUGUUUAAAAUGGUUUCAUCACCCUUAGGUGUCGGCCAGCACGUGCCUAUCCUGGUAUUUGGGGAUAUUGGGAUCAGGUUGUGUGAGAAAGGAUGAGAGAUAAACUCAUUUUCUCAUCUUCUUCAACAUCAGAACUAGCAAACUCAAAAAUUCCAUAACACACUGCACUCAUCCUUUCUCAAGUUUUAAAAUAGAAAAAAAUUUGAAAUUCUAGACCGCCUAAUCCAACCAGUCAGCUGCCUAGGCCGCCUAAGGUUCACCCAGGCUGCCUCAGCGCUCGCCUAAUCCCUUCCCUGAUUUUUCUCCCAAUUAAGAGUUAAUCCUGGUGGCUGGCCAUUGCCCAGCAUUUAAACCAAUUUUUAGAACAUUGAUAUUUGGUAAGGAUCAGGCGAAAACCAAUACAAGAAUAGUGGUGGGAACAUAGUGAGUACCAAUGCCUUGUAUAUGUGACAAGGUUUCUAUAUUUUCCUGCUGACCAUAUAUGCUAAUUUCUUCUCGGUUGCAUUUGGGUCCUGAAGACUCAAAUAUAGCUAACCUAGAAAAGUGACACCAACAUAAAUAUUUAAAAAAUUAGUUGAAAUAAUGAGUUAUAAAUCUUAAUUUUUGAAAUGAUCUCCAUUUUUUUUUUCAUAUUUGAUCAAUACGUAGCUAAUUUUUAAUUUUAAUCAGUUUAAGAAUUGGAUGUUAUAAAGCUUUAUCUAUACUGUAUAAAUCUACUAAACUUUAUUCUUAUAUAUGUAUACUUCAAAGUAAACUCUUGCUGGAUUUGUGCUUGAUAAUAAAUGGUGGAUAUAUGAUGUUUUCAGAUAAAAUCACAUAGUCCGCUUUGUACCUUUGGUUGAUGAAUUGUUUCAAGUUUUGCGUUUUCAAUUUUCUAUCCUUUUUUCUGGCAAGGCUUUUUACAAUGUGGACUUCAAUUGAUGGAGUAUCACUUCUAUGUUGAUAUAAUUUCUUUUGUGGCAGAUGAUAUGAAGAAGUGGAAUGAUAAACUGAUGGAAUGGGAAUUUUGCUGCUAAGACAAGAAUGGUAAAUUAGUUUUAUAUACACAUAAUGCAUGUAAAUAGAAAAAAAAACCUACAUUUUUUCUAUGUGGACUUUUAUCGAUUAAAUAUUUGGUAUGUAAAUUUUUUCUAAUGUUUUGAUGUAAAUAGUAAUAAUCUUCUAUCACACAACCUUUCAUAUAAUUUUUAAUCCUUUGACAACGCAUGAACAUCAUUUUCUAGUUCUUCACUAUUACGCAAAAGGCCUGAAACUGCGUUUUAAUACUAAUGACUACACCAACAAUUUCAACACUCUAAGAACUUGGAUUGGAUUGUUUUAAGAGGUAUGAUUCUCUUCCCUCCUAUUUCCAUCCCUUUUCAUCCCCUCUUUUCAAACUUUGUUUUUUGUCCUUUUGUCUUUGUAAAAAAAAAUCAAUUUAAGAUAAUGACGUGUCUUAAUUAUAAUCGUUCAAGUAGAAGACGAGGGAGGGAGGGAGAGAGAGAUUAAUGGGACAUAAAUCCUCCUCCUAGUUUCAACUGCGGGAGCGAAACCUCACCGCCAAUAUUGUCUUAGUCAGAAGCCACACCAGAGCUAAACCUUAAAAUGACCGCCAAUAUUGUCUUAGUCAGAAGCCACACCAGAGCUA
This 2438-nucleotide long non-coding RNA is filed under the name Malus domestica (apple). Its description in RNAcentral is "long non-coding RNA (MDOM_LNC007433)". Lineage: Eukaryota; Viridiplantae; Streptophyta; Magnoliopsida; Rosales; Rosaceae. The record is from RNAcentral.